CACGGGGGUUGCGAGCGUUGUCCGGAAUUACUAGGCGUAAAGGGCAGGUAGGCGGAGAUGUAAGUUUGAUGUUAAAGGUACUGGCUCACCCAGUGUACGGCAUCAGAUACUGCAUUUCUUGAAUACGGUUGGGGAAGACAGAAUUCCUGGUGUAGCGGUGGAAUGCGCAGAGAUCAGGAGGAAUACCGAAGGCGAAGGCAGUCUUCUAAGCCGGUUAUUGACGCUAAACUGCGAAGGUGUGGGUAUCAAACAGGAUUAGAUAC
RNAcentral lists this ribosomal RNA (263 nucleotides) under uncultured bacterium. RNAcentral's name for it is "partial 16S ribosomal RNA". It matches the Rfam family "Bacterial small subunit ribosomal RNA", at positions 524 to 785 of the family's 1533-position model. The record is from RNAcentral.